CCGAUCUCUUCAGUAAUUGCGCAUGAACCAGGAUAUGCUUAGCUUGACAAAUGGAGCUGCUGGCUCUGAAUUGUAUUGUGGGAAUGUAUUACCAACAGAGGUGCAGGUGUCAGCCAUUUGAAAGAAAGCAUCAAUGAGGGUGAGAGUCCUGUUUGUCAUGUGCAGCCUUCUGUGCACGGUGUAUAUUUGCUGAGUCACACUCCUCGGCAUUGGAAUGCAAAGUGGGUGGUAAGUUUCAUGCAAAGGUAAAUAUGCAAUUGAGACUGAUAGCGCACAAGUACCAUGAGGGACAUAUGAAAAGGACUUUAAAAAGAGAAUUAAAUGAGUUUGUAUUUGCUAAACACAAAGUAAACAGACUUGAUUUCCUCAGUGAGAUUGUAGUGCUUGCUUAACAAUGGGUUUUGGCUGCAAGUGCAAUAAUUCUUGCUUUGUGUGCCAGUUUUUAUGUGGACAUUUGAUUACCUUUGCACAUGAAUGGUAAUUUUCCUGCGGGGUGUGGAUUGCAUAUGCAUGUAAUGAUUUGCAUGUUUGUUAAAUGUGUCUGGUGUAUUUGUUUGUGUCCUUGUCCUUGAGGUUGCUUUCUCCCUUGGGCUUACAUGCCCUGGCACACACAUUCUGGCAAAAUGCUUCUGCUUGACCCGUCUUGAAAAU
Molecule: ribosomal RNA, 651 nt
Filed under: Alexandrium tamarense
Lineage: Eukaryota; Dinophyceae; Gonyaulacales; Pyrocystaceae
Description: LSU rRNA
Rfam family: Eukaryotic large subunit ribosomal RNA
Source: RNAcentral